GANCCNUGGCGGCAGGCCUAACACAUGCNAAGUCGAGCGGUAGAGAGAAGCUUGCUUCUCUUGAGAGCGGCGGACGGGUGAGUAAUGCCUAGGAAUCUGCCUGGUAGUGGGGGAUAACGUUCGGAAACGGACGCUAAUACCGCAUACGUCCUACGGGAGAAAGCAGGGGACCUUCGGGCCUUGCGCUAUCAGAUGAGCCUAGGUCGGAUUAGCUAGUUGGUGGGGUAAUGGCUCACCAAGGCGACGAUCCGUAACUGGUCUGAGAGGAUGAUCAGUCACACUGGAACUGANACACGGUCCAGACUCCUACNGGAGGCAGC
This 320-nucleotide ribosomal RNA is filed under the name uncultured Pseudomonas sp. HD-2000/3. RNAcentral describes it as "bacterial SSU rRNA". It matches the Rfam family "Bacterial small subunit ribosomal RNA", at positions 31 to 352 of the family's 1533-position model. Lineage: Bacteria; Pseudomonadati; Pseudomonadota; Gammaproteobacteria; Pseudomonadales; Pseudomonadaceae. The record is from RNAcentral.